RNAcentral lists this unclassified non-coding RNA (1458 nucleotides) under Hevea brasiliensis (rubber tree). Lineage: Eukaryota; Viridiplantae; Streptophyta; Magnoliopsida; Malpighiales; Euphorbiaceae. The record is from RNAcentral.
CUUCGCCCAAAAAAAUGCUUUCACAUCGCAAAUAUAACAUUCCUUCUUCAUUUUGAUCUCUUUUUUCUUCUUCUUUCCCUGCAAACGUAACCAUGUUGAUGUCCCCAAAAUACAUAGAACGAAGGUAUAUGAAAAAUGAAUAGAUAAAUUUUUGUAUAUCAACAAAGAAGAUGAAGGGGUUAUUCAAAUCAAAACCAAGGACACCGGUGGAGGUGGUCCAUCAAACACGAGAACUUCUCAUCUAUGCCGAUAAGAAUACGGAAACUCGUGAACGCAAACGCGAGGAAAAGAUGUCAGAGCUGAGUAAAUUAAUCUUAGAGAUGAGGACAGUUCUAUUUGGAAAUGGUCAAAAUGAGCCAAAUUCUGAUGCUUGUGCACAACUAACACAGGAGUUCUUCAAAGAGAACACAUUUCACCUUCUCAUUAUUUGUCUCCCAAAACUUGAUUUAGGGACGCGUCAAAACGCCACUCAUGUGAUAGCAAAUUUGCAAAGACAACGUGUUAAUGGCCGAAUGACUGCUUCUGAGUUCAUGGAAAAUAAUUUGGAUUUCAUGGAUAUUUUGUUGCCUGGUUAUCUAGACGGUGACAUUGCUCUAACCUAUGGUGCAAUUUCAAGGGAGUGCAUACGCCAUCAAUCUGUGGCUAGAUAUGUCUUGGAAUCAGAGCACAUGAAGAAAUUUUUUAAUUAUAUACAGAUUCCUAAUUUUGACAUAGCAUCUGAUGCUCAAGCAACUUUUAAAGAGCUUUUAACUAGGCACAAAUCUACUGUAGCUGAAUUUCUUUCUAAAAACUAUGACUGGUUUUUUCAAGAAUACAAUUCUCAGUUGUUGGAAUCUACCAAUUAUAUAACCAGAAGACAUGCUGUCAAGUUGCUGGGAGAUAUGUUGCUUGAACGCUCAAAUUCUGCUGUGAUGAUACGCUAUGUGAGCUCACUGGAUAACAUGAGAAUCUUGAUGAACCUUUUCAGGGACUCAAAGAAGACCAUACAACUGGAAACCUUUCAUGUUUUCAAGGUCGAAUAAAAGAUGCUUUUUUUGAGCUCCUAUUUGUUUGUAUAUUAUUCAAAUUUAACUUUUCUUUUUUGAUAUUGAUAGUUAUUUAUUGCAAAUCAAAGUAAGCCUCCUGAAAUCAUUAGUGUACUUGUUACAAAUAAAAGCAAGCUUCUUCGAUUUUUAGGUGACUUCAACAUUGAUAAAGAUGAUGAACAAUUUGAAGCAGACAAAGCUGAAGUCAUAAGAGAAAUUGCCACUCUUGAAAUUAGAGAUCAUUCUUGCGCAGACUCAGAGGAUUCUGAGAUUGAACCUUAAUUGCUUUGAUGUUUUGUUUACUAUACUCCUACACCAGUACAUAUUUAUAACAUUUAGCAUUUAGUUUCUGUUUACCGAUGUUGUUGUAUCCACAUGAAACUGUAAACUUAUCUAACUUUUACCAAAAUGAUGGUUUUGUGUAGAUAGAAAA